UGUUCUUCUUUUCAGCUCUUCAUUCAACGUCCAACAGACAGUAAGUGCAAUAACUCCCUGCAGCUAUUAUGACAUUCUGUGUGAUCUGGCUCCAGUACCUGCUGAUAAGGCUGUCCGAGACUAUUGGCUAGUCUUGAACAUAUAUAAAUGGGAGCAGCUGCUGCAGAUGAGUGCUCCCCCGACUCCUCCCUGAUGUCCUCUGAUAGGCUUCUGGACUGCCUUGUGUCUGGUGCAGGCUGCGCAUCUAAUUGGCUCCCUUCUGUUACUAUGGAGCUGCGUCCUCUCCCGGCUAUGGCUUCCGCUCCCGGGGCUUACAACAGCUCAGCUGGAGCCUCUCUGGCCAUCUCUCCAGACCGCUCAGCUCCUUUCUGCUGCCUUCACUGCAAUGCCGCACGCUGGCACACCCGGAGCCCUCCUGGCCGCUCUCCUCUGUCUGCCAGCAGCACCUCUACCUCCUCCUCCACCGCCCCCCUUCGGGAACGGGUAAGCCUGGUGCUGGUGCAGCUACUCGGUAUCCAGUACUGCCGCUUGUAUGUUUACAGCAUACAGCGCUCUGGAUGACCAAGUGCCCACACUGACCAGGGGAACAGCAGUCUGCUCUAUGCUAACGGGAGCGCCUAUUUAUAUCUUUAUCUGCCCGCUCGCGGACUCCCUCUCUGCACCCGGCACUUUAAACUACCUGCUCGCGGAUUCCCUCUCUGCACCCGGCACUAUUUACCGGCUCGUGGACCCCUCUCACUCUAUGUCUUUCUAUAUUACCGGCACGCGCAGGUCUCCGUCCUUUGCACACGGCCCCCCCUCUUUCUGCACACGGCCCUAUUUACCGGCACGGGGACCUCUCUAGUACAAUGACAACAGCAUUAGCUUAUUGCGCCCUCCCUCUCUUUAAUUAAUUAAAUAUUCUUUUAUUUUUUACAUAACACA
Molecule: long non-coding RNA, 924 nt
Organism: Pseudophryne corroboree (corroboree frog)
Lineage: Eukaryota; Metazoa; Chordata; Amphibia; Anura; Myobatrachidae
Exons: 3
Source: RefSeq, a predicted model, not a curated record